UGGGAUUGCCUUAGUAACGGCGAGUGAAGCGGCAAAAGCUCAAAUUUGAAAUCUAGUGCCUUCGGUACUCGAGUUGUAAUUUGAAGAAUUUAUCUCCUUUCCAAACCUUUAUCUAUGUUCCUUGGAACAGGACGUCAUAGAGGGUGAGAAUCCCGUGUGAUUUUGGAUUUGGAAUUUUGUGAGAUUUAUUCGAAGAGUCGAGUUGUUUGGGAAUGCAGCUCUAAGUGGGUGGUAAGUUCCAUCUAAAGCUAAAUAUUGGCAAGAGACCGAUAGCGAACAAGUACAGUGAUGGAAAGAUGAAAAGAACUCUGAAGAGAGGGUGAAAAAGUACGUGAAAUUGCUGAAAGGGAAGGGCUUUAGGUCAGACUUGGUGUUUAAUACUCAGUUCUCCUUGUGGGAGCUGCUCUUGUUUUUCACUGGGCCAAUAUCAGUUUUGACGAUAGAGCACCUCUGGAAAUGUGGCUAUCUUCGGAUAGUGUUAUAGUCUGGAGACGAUCUAUUGUUGGGACUGA
RNAcentral lists this ribosomal RNA (512 nucleotides) under Saccharomycopsis fermentans. RNAcentral describes it as "LSU rRNA". It matches the Rfam family "Eukaryotic large subunit ribosomal RNA", at positions 70 to 581 of the family's 3401-position model. The record is from RNAcentral. Lineage: Eukaryota; Fungi; Ascomycota; Saccharomycetes; Ascoideales; Saccharomycopsidaceae.